Long non-coding RNA from Cuculus canorus (common cuckoo), 7890 nucleotides. RefSeq lists it as uncharacterized. The transcript has 3 exons. NCBI's taxonomy places the organism in Eukaryota, Metazoa, Chordata, Aves, Cuculiformes, Cuculidae. The record is from RefSeq and is a predicted model, not a curated record.
AGCAGAGAUAAAGGGUCCAAGCCUACUUCAACAUCUUCUCUUUCAAUAGGCUUAACCACUCCAUAAAAGCUAUUCCUUUUAGUAGUUGUAUCUUUGGAUUGUGGUUUCUUGAUUUGGGACUCAGCUGACUGUUCAAGGUUCACAUCUUCCAUUGUGGUCAUGUUUUCAUCUCUUCCAUUCUCAAGAUGUUCCUGCCCUUCCCCAGGUUCUUCCAGCACUGGUGAAGACCUAUGCUCCAAUUCCCAACUACUCUCAGUCACACAACUCCAAGUGCCACUUAUGCCAGAAACCUGCUGGUCAACAGUACUUUCAAAGCUGUGGGACUUACUGGUAUGACAGGGUGAAGUUUUAGCCCCAGAUAAAGCUGCUGUUAAGAUCUUGGUGUCCUUUAUCUUCUCAUGCUGUCCCUCUUGGUGUCACCUCUUGUUGUCCCCUUCUGGUGCCCCUUGUCCCCUCUUGGUGUCCUUUGGCCCCCCUUGUCCCCUCUGCAGAUGGAGCAGAUGUUGGGUGCUUUCCAGUGUGACCUGAGCAGCAUCAGCUCCAAGAUCCGAACCCUCUAGGACCACUCAGUGGCCAUGAACCUUCAGCUCCGCAACCACCAUGCUGUCUGACGUCACCUGGGCCAACUCCUGGAUGAGCUGGUGGUCCCGGCCACCAUGAUCAGCACCAUCCUAGAGGUGCCGGUGACGGAACCCGAAUUCCUGGAGCAGCUGCAGGAGCUCAAUGGGAAGGUCAAUGUGGUGAAGGAGCAGGCAUUUAGGGACACCGUGGCCUGUGCUGACACCGAGCACAUUCUGGAGAAGCUCAAGAUUAAGGUUCUUCUACCAGUUCCCUGGGCCACGAGCAGAUGAUGACACAGGAGCUGUGCGAGGCCUACGUGGACACCAUGAGCAAGAUCUAUUUCUCCUACUUAAAUUCUACACCAGCCACCUCAUGAAGAUCCAGGUGGGGAUGCGGCACUCCUGUUCUGCUCCACUUCCACUCCUGGUCUGAUCCUGCUCUCACUCGGCUCUCGUUCCUGACACGUUUUGCUCUGGUUCAGCUCCGGUUCCGCUCUGAUGUCACUCUAAUUCCUCUCUGAUCCCGCUCCGGUUCUGCUCCUGGUCUGCUCCUGCUCUCACUUGGCUCUCAUUCCAUGCCAGUUUCACUCUGGAUCCGCUCCAGUUCCACUCCCAUUCUGAUCCUGCUCUCACUUGGCUCUUGUUCCGUGCCAGUUCUGCACUACUACUGCUCUGGUUCUGCUCCUGGUCUGAUCCUGCUCUCCCUUGGCUCUCAUGCUGUGCCAGUUCCGCUCUGAUUCUGCCCCGGUCCUGCUCCAGUUCUGCUCCCAUUCUGAUCCUGCUCUCACUUGGCCCUCGUGCCAUGCCUGUUCUGCUCUGGUUCUGCUCCAGUUCAGCUCUGAUCUCACUCCAAUUCUGCUCUGAUCCCACUACGGUUCCGCUCCCAGUCUGAUUCUGCUCCCACUUGGCUCUGACUCUGUGCCAGUUUUUCUCCAGUUCUGCUCCCGGUUUGAUCCCGCUCUCAUUUGGCUCUCGUUCCAUGCCAGUUUCGCUCUGGUUCUGCUCCAGUUCUGCUCCGGUUCCACUCUGAUACUGCUAUGAUUCUGCUCUGAUCUCACUAAUUCUGCUCCGGUUCCGCUCCAGUUCUGCUCCCAGUCUGAUCCUGCUCUCAUUUGGCUCUCAUUCCGCUCCGGUUACGUUCCCAGUCUGAUCCUGCUCUCUUUUGGCUCUCGUACUGUGCCACUUUCACUCUGAUUCUGCUCCGAUUCCACUCUGAUCUCAUUCUAAUUCUGUUCUGAUCCCACUCUGGUUCUGCUCCCUGUCUGAUCUUGGUCUCACUUGGCUCUCAUUCUGUGCCAGUUCCGCUCUGCUUCUGCUCUGGUUCCACUCCGGUUUCGCUCUCAUUCUGGUCUGAUUCUGCUCUGUUCUCACUUUAUUUCCACUCUGGUUCUGCUCUGGUUCCACUCCAGUCCUGCUCCCGGCAUGAUUCUGCUCUCACUUGGCUCUCAUUCUGUGCCAGUUCUGUGCUGGUUCUGCUCUGGUUCUGCUCCAGUUUUGCUGUGAUUCUGCUCUGAUCGCACUCUAAUUCCACUCUGAUUCCGCUCCAGUUCCACUCUGAUCUCACUCUAAUCCCGCUCCGGUUCCAUUCCAGUUCUGCUCCCGGUCUGAUCCUGCUCCCACUUGGCUCUGGUUCUGCUCCGGUUCCACUCCUGGUCUGAUCCUGCUCUCGCUUGGCUCUUGUGCCGUGCCAGUUUUGCUUUGGUUCUUCUCUGUUUCCACUCCAGUUCCACUCUGAUUCUGCUCUAUUUCUGCUCUGAUCUCACUCUAAUUCCACUCCGAUCCUGCUGCUGUUCUGCUCCCAGUCUGAUCCUGCUCUCACUUGGCUCUCAUUCUGUGCCAGUUCCGCUCUGCUUCUGCUCUGGUUCCACUCCAGUUUUGCUCUCAUUCUGGUCUGAUUCCGCUCUGUUCUCACUUUAUUUCCACUCUGGUUCUGCUCCGGUUCCACUCCAGUCCCGCUCCCUGUCUGAUCCUGCUCUCACUUGGCUCUUGUUCCACACCAGUUCUGCUCUGGUUCUGCUCCAAUUCUGCUCCCAGUCUGAUCCUGCUCUCACUUGGUGUCCAGGCCCAGAAUGGUCAGGUCUGGGGAGAUUCUUUGUUAUUCCCAGAGUUAGAUUAAGAGACAAAUGAGAUCAGAUUCUGUAACAAAAGGUAGUUUAAUAGUUUCAAAAAGAAAGUUUGCAUAGAGGCAGAAAGAGAGAGAAAGAAAAGGAAAAAAAGUAAAAUAGAAGGUGCAAUAGCUACCACCACAGAGCUGCGGCGUCCCAUCAGUCUGAAUCGACUUCAUGUCAGGUGGGGAAUUCCACUGGGUGCUGGUAAUCAUGGUUCUUUUACUGAGGUGUCUCAGCCUUCUCCACACCCUCCCCACCCCCCACUCAGCAGUGGUGCACAUGCCCAAUACCAUCUCUGUGGGGAGCUUGUCCCUGGGUCUGGGCACAUGUGCCUGGGUAAGGGUACAAACAGGAGAUGUGUGGUUUUGUGGUCGUUGCUGCGACGAUGAGGUAAGGCAAGAUGUUCCAGCAAUGUUGAGGCAUCUGUUGCAAACACGGUUUCGACAAAGGCCUUUACGCUUGGCUCUCAUUCUGUGCCAGUUUUGCUUCGGUUCUGCUCUGAUUCUGCUCUGAUCUCACUCUAAUUCUGCUCUGGUUUUGGUCCAAUCCCAUUCUUAUUCUGAUCUGAUUCCACUCUGAUCUCUGAUUCCAAUAUGAUUCCUCUCCGAUUCUGCUCCAGUUCAGAUACGAUUCCGCUCUGAUUCUACUCCAGUUUUGUUCUGAUCACGCUUCGAUUCUACUCUGAUUUCACUCUUAAUUCUGCUCCGAUUCCGCUCUGAUCUCAUUCUAAUUCCGCUCCGAUCUCACUCUAAUUCUGCUCCGAUUCCACUCUGAUCUCACUCUAAUUCCGCUCUGAUUCUGCUCUGAUCUCACUCUAAUUCUGCUCCAAUUCCACUCUGAUUUCACUCCAAUUCCACUCACAUUCUGAUCCUGCUUUCCUUCUGCUCUCAUUCUUUGCCAUUUCUUCUCCAAUACACUCCCAUUCCACUUCGAUUCUGAUCCUGCUCUCAUUCCUUGCCAUUUCUGCUCCGAUUCCUCCCUGAUUCUGCUCCAAUUUCCCUUCCAUUCUGAUCCUGCUCUCCUUCUGCUCUCAUUCCAUGCUAUUUCUGCUCCGAUUCCACUCUAAUUCCGCUUCAAUUCCACUCCCAUUCUCAUCCUGCUCUCCUUCUGCUCUCAUUCCAUGCCGUUUCUUCUCUGAUUUCACUCUGAUUCCACUCCAAUUCUUAUCCUGCUCUCAUUCCAUGCCAUUUCUUCUCCAGUUCUGCUCCACUUCCACCCUGAUUUGUCUCAGCUCCCCCUUGCAGUACGAGGAGGUGGCCGAGAAGGACAACCUCAUGGGUGUGGAGGACACCACCAAGAAAGAUAUUCUCCAAUUAAUGGCAUGAUGACAAGUCUUGGUCUCCAUUUGGGCUUUUUUGGGGGGGUUCCUGGACCUCCUCGUUGGUUCCCUGACUCUGGAUUCCCUCGUGGUUCUUCUCCAAGCCCUCCUUAAAGAACCGCAACACCGUCUUCACCUUGGGCAACCGCGGCAGUGUCAUCGGUGGCGCUGAGCUAGAGGCUCCCAUGGUGAUCAGGUCAACAGGAUGAGGUCAGCGAGUUGAUGUCAAUGGGAUGAGCUCAACGAGAUGUCAAGCAGAUGAGGUCAACGGGAUGAGAUCAGCGGGAUGAGGUCAACUAGAUGUCAAUGUGACAAGGUCAAUGGGAUGAGGUUGAAGGGAUGAGGUCAGCAGGAUGAGGUCAGCGAGAUGAAGUCAGCGGGUUUUGGAUGACGAGAUGAGUUCAAGAGGAUGAAGUGUGAAAAAAUACCUUGAGCCUUUUUACUUCUCCAUGCUAUCAUUCAGUGGGCACUUUAGAUAGAGCAAUGAAUCCUCACUGGAUUUAUACAGUUGUAAUAUGGAGCAGACGUCUUCCAAAAAUGAAGUUAGACUCUUUGCACCUACCAAAAUAUAGGUUGCAUAAAUAUAGAUCUGUCCUCUGUAAGUAGAGUUGACUUUUUAACAUCAGUUCUACAGGAUUUAGUCUUUAAUAAGAAAACCAUUCACACCAAACCCAUUUUUUUUUCCUGAUAGCUAACAUUACCCUUUUCAGUUCUGAUAUUUGUCACCAUUUGUGUCCAUAGUACUGCCUUUGGUCCGAUUUUCUACUGCACAUCUAAAACUUCUGACUGACCUCAAUGUUAUUACCCUCAAAUGCUGUACUGUUACACUCUGAUAACCAGCAGUGCUUUUUUUUCCAUCAUUUCUUACAAUACAGUUAGGUUAACAUUCUUGUCUCAGCUAGUUCUAUAAUUCUCACAGUUGUUUUAGAAUUUUAUAUUUAAUUCUGCUGUUCAAUAAUAGAAAAACCCUACCAAUAUCAUGACUCCUACAAGAAAUAUUACUCUGUCUUUCUAAGCUUUUAUCUCAUUUCAAAUAAAACUGAAAUAUUUCUACUUUAUCUGGCAGAACUGUCCACGAGUCUCCUCUGAAAGUCUAUUUUACUGUUUAGGAAUUUAUAGUGAAGUUCACUGAUCAGCUAUAAUCAGGUUCUAGAAAUUAAAUUUGUAAAACUUUUUUUUUUACUUAAUUAACCUAGAGGCAACAAGAUGAGAAAUAAGUCCCAAAUUAUUUGAUUCUAUACACAUACUGAACCAUGUACACACAUACUGACACUGGGUAUACCUAUAUAAAUGUGCACACAAAUGAGAUGUAUAAACCUAGGGCUAAUACAUUUCUAGGCAGACACAUGACACAGCAGUAUAACCAUGCUAAGAAUGUGCAAAGUGAGAUCAGCUGGCAGCAUGAUCUAGAUUUGCCAAAGUCCACUCAACUUUUCCAUUGGCUAUCGAAAGGCAAAGAACAUGUUAUAAGGUUAGCUAGUUAUAUGAACUUCCCCUACUCUAUUUUUUAAUAUAAAUGUGAUUUGUGCUAAUUAUAAGAUACUGUUUCAUGCAGCACUAAUCACAAAUCCCAUACUACUAAUUUACAUUUAUUGCAUUAUUAUACUAUGUUUUUUUUUAAUAUAUUACUUGAUUUUUCAAAUUAUCCUUUUAAGAAGUAAGGAUAAGGGUGAUAGAAGUAGCCAGGGGACUCAGGUGCUUGAUUAACCCUUCAUUUAUUACCAAGAUCCUAAAUUCCUCACCAGUUGCUACCCAGCACUACAAACACCAACAAAUCCUCUCUGUUACUACAAAUCAAAUCCUGAGUCUGCUCUAUUGCUGAGACACACCAAGAAAAAUGAAGUGUUGAAUCCAUGGCCUGGUGACCAAGCAUGUAUCUGGCUUAUUGACAAUCACAGAAUCAUAAAAUCAUAGAAUCACUAGGUUGGAAAACACCUCUUAGAUCAUAGAGUCCAAAUGUAAGUGCUGAUCUUGUGAGUAUUUAUUUGGGCACAGAGAAAAGCCAAAGCAAUGAGCAGUGCGAAAAUUUGUGUUCUCCUGCACUUAUGGAGAACUAGGAGGGCUUGGAAGUUGUAUGGAUAAUGUAAACUGAAAUAAGAAAAUAGUUGUGAUUUCUGAGGAGGGAAUGUCAAGUCCCAUCACAGAGGUGAAUGCUAUAAAGAUUCCCAAAUAAGGCAGCACAGAGCAGCUUUCUGCACUCCUCCAACACCAAGGGCAUCUCUUUUACAUAGCUUAUUCACAAAAGUUAACUCCCACCUGACAUGGGCCAAUAUCCUUAUAUCAUGUUGUAUUUCACAGAGAGGAACAAACCCCUUCAAACAGGGAACAUGGUGAACAGGGACCGAAUCACCCUCUAAAAAGAUUUGUCUCUCCUGCUGACUGCAGAGGAAGCCUAGUGAUAAGCAUCACCAGGGUAAUGUUUUCUGUGAAAGACCAAGGACAGAACAAAGCUGCUGAAUAUAACAACUUAAUUCAGUAGUAAUUGUACAAAUACUCAGAUCACGACAGCAAACCAACACACACAGGUGUCGUAGUGACAGCAGAGCAGCGAUACUGAUAAAGCGUUGCUGGCUGCCUGCUUACACCAGGGCUGCUCAAUUGCAUCGAGCAGCCUCUGCUGCCAAAGCCUGGUGACUUGUUAGAAAGGAAUCAACUUUGAACAUAACUUUAGUUCGUGAUUUUCAAAACCCUUACUCUGAUGAAGAAUUUAGAGAAGACAUCUCUGCACCUCCAUUUCUAGUCCAUCCGUCUCACAAGUUUGAGAUAGCAGGUUUUAAAUAAAGAAUUGAGUUACUAGCAGCAGAUACACAUACAUACGCGAGUAUAUAUACUAAAAUUGGAAAAAAAUAUAUUUCCUUGGUAUUUAAACUCUUACCAUAACAAAACCUGGUUAUAUGAGGUUUGUCUUGUAGCAGCAAAUUUCCCAUUUUUUCUUCCAAUUUCCCAACGUUUAAAAUUGCUGUUGCAUCCUACCUUCUGUACUAGUUCUGCUCAUACAUGAAUUAAACAUUCAUUACAAAAAGUAAAUACCAACAUUUUUCAACUGAAAGAAUUAAGACAACCUCCAUUUGAUUAAAAUUUUUACAGAUAAUCUUAAUGAAAUUUAGAAAGUCCAAAAAUUUAUUGAAUAUCCUAUCAUCUCCUCCUGAUGAGACCUUAUUAUCCUUUGUUGUACAGUUCAUAGCAAUUCGACCCUUUAAGUUUCACAAUGGCUCAAAUACUUCAAACUUCUGCCACCACCUCUGGGAGUUAUUUCCACAGUCCACCAAAAUCAGAAUAGUAAAAAAAAAAAAUAGAUUUCCUAACUUUCAUCCUGUAUUUUCUCUUUUUUCACUUUUUCUUCCCUGAAUCAUGGAAACUUGUCAACAAAUCUGUCUCACUCAAUAUUACUGUCGUCUCCUUUUUCUCCUUUGUGAUGCUUAUGAAUUAAGAUAUGCUAGGCACAUAAAAAGCAAGCACAUCAUGACAUCAUGGUUGGAAAAGCAUCAAAUGUAAAUAACUUAUUUUCUUGCUGCGUUUCGUAGGCAAGUCAUAGGAAUACUUAGAUUUCUGUUUAUACACUUUAACAUCUAUGAUUAAGGAGUAUCACCAGUACCAGAGUCUUAUCUGCUACUGAACCUCACUCUCAGAAUAUUAAAGCAUCAUUCAAGGGAAUACUGGAAUCUGUUCUGGUCCCCUGGGAAACAUUUCAAAACCAUAUCAAGGUGGUUUCCCUGCAGUGAAUCUCCUCUUUUUUUUUUAUCCAUACAUUAGAUAUUUACAUGAAAGAAAAUCCUGCAAAUCCCUUCAGAAGACUACUUUUAAAGGAAACACAGUAGGAAUAUUCUGUUCUACACAGCAGAAGGAUUUCUAGAUGCUGUUUUACUCAAUCUCACACAAAAAGAGAAAAGUGAAAGCCUAAAAC